UACGAAGGGUGCAAGCGUUGUUCGGAUUUAUUGGGCGUAAAGCGCGCGUAGGCGGACCUGCAAGUCAGAUGUGAAAUCUCGGGGCUCAACCCCGAAACUGCGUCUGAAACUACAGGUCUAGAAUCUUGGAGGGGGAAGGGGAAUUUCGCAUGUAGGGGUAAAAUCCGUAGAUAUGCGAAGGAACACCAGAGGCGAAGGCGCCUUCCUGGACAAGUAUUGACGCUGAGGCGCGAAAGCGUGGGGAGCAAACAGG
RNAcentral lists this ribosomal RNA (253 nucleotides) under uncultured bacterium. RNAcentral's name for it is "partial 16S ribosomal RNA". It matches the Rfam family "Bacterial small subunit ribosomal RNA", at positions 524 to 776 of the family's 1533-position model. The record is from RNAcentral.